AGGCUACUGCUAUUGGGAUUCGACUAAGCCAUGCGAGUCAAGGUGUCUUCGGACGCCGGCAUACGGCUCAGUAACACGUAGGUAACCUACCCUCAGGACUGAGAUAACCCCGGGAAACUGGGGCUAAUAUUAGAUAGAUAAAAGAUACUGGAAUGUUCUUUUAUCCAAAGCUUUUGCGCCUGAGGAUGGGCCUGCGUCCGAUUAGGUCGUUGGUGGGGUAAUGGCCCACCAAGCCUGCGAUCGGUACGGGCAGUGGAAGCUGAAGCCCGGAGUUGGGGACUGAGACAAGGCCCCAGGCCCUACGGGGCGCAGCAGGCGCGAAACCUCUGCAAUGCGGGAAACCGUGACAGGGGGAUCCCAAGUGCUCAUGCAUUGCAUGGGCUGUUCUUUGGUCUAAGUAACCAGAGGAGUAAGGGCUGGGCAAGACCGGUGCCAGCCGCCGCGGUAACACCGGCGGCUCGAGUGGUAACCGUUAUUAUUGGGUCUAAAGGGUCUGUAGCCGGCCGGAUAAGUCUCUUGAGAAAUCUGGCAGCUUAACUGUCAGGCUUUCAGGAGAUACUGUCUGGCUCGAGGCCGGGAGAGGUGAGAGGUACUUCAGGGGUAGGGGUGAAAUCUUGUAAUCCUUGAAGGACCACCANNNGCGAAGGCGUCUCACCAGAACGGACCUGACGGCAAGGGACGAAAGCUAGGGGCACGAACCGGAUUAGAUACCCGGGUAGUCCUAGCCGUAAACGAUACUCGCUAGGUGUCGGCCACGGUGCGACCNUUGUCGGUGCCGUAGGGAAGCCGUGAAGNGNGCCACCUGGGAAGUACGGCCGCAAGGCUGAAACUUAAAGGAAUUGGCGGGGGAGCACCACAACGGGUGGAGCUUGCGGUUUAAUUGGAUUCAACGCCGGAAAUCUUACCGGGACCGACAGCAAUAUGAAGGCCAGGCUGAAGACUUUGCCGGAUUAGCUGAGAGGUGGUGCAUGGCCGUCGUCAGUUCGUACUGUGAAGCAUCCUGUUAAGUCAGGCAACGAGCGAGACCCACGCCCACAGUUGCCAGCGUACUCUCUGGAGUGACGGGUACACUGUGGGGACCGCCGCUGCUAAAGCGGAGGAAGGAAUGGGCAACGGUAGGUCAGUAUGCCCCGAAUAUCCCGGGCUACACGCGAGCUACAAUGGUUGGUACAAUGGGUAUCUACCCCGAAAGGGGACGGGAAUCUCCUAAAACCAAUCUUAGUUCGGAUUGAGGGCUGCAACUCGCCCUCAUGAAGCUGGAAUCCGUAGUAAUCGCGUUUCAACAGAACGCGGUGAAUACGUCCCUGCUCCU
RNAcentral lists this ribosomal RNA (1312 nucleotides) under uncultured archaeon. Its description in RNAcentral is "bacterial SSU rRNA". It matches the Rfam family "Archaeal small subunit ribosomal RNA", at positions 21 to 1337 of the family's 1478-position model. The record is from RNAcentral.